UACGUAGGGGGCAAGCGUUGUUCGGAAUUACUGGGCGUAAAGGGCGCGUAGGCGGCACGGCAAGUCAGGAGUGAAAGGCCUGGGCUCAACCGAGGAACUGCGCCCGAGACUGCUUCUCUUGAGUCCCGGAGAGGAAGGUGGAAUUCCCGGUGUAGCGGUGAAAUGUGUAGAGAUCGGGAGGAACACCGGUGGCGAAGGCGGCCUUCUGGACGGUGACUGACGCUGAGGCGCGAAAGCGUGGGGAGCAAACGGG
RNAcentral lists this ribosomal RNA (253 nucleotides) under uncultured bacterium. RNAcentral's name for it is "partial 16S ribosomal RNA". It matches the Rfam family "Bacterial small subunit ribosomal RNA", at positions 524 to 776 of the family's 1533-position model. The record is from RNAcentral.